AUCUAUAUAAUUUAUAUAAAGAAUAUUACAUUGAAGCUGUAAAAGAGAUAAAUUUAUCUGUAGAUA
This 66-nucleotide transfer RNA is filed under the name Myomenippe fornasinii. RNAcentral describes it as "tRNA-Phe". Lineage: Eukaryota; Metazoa; Arthropoda; Malacostraca; Decapoda; Menippidae. The record is from RNAcentral.